AUGAAAGAAGUAAAGAGGAUCAUCUGUGAAUCAAGCUUGGGAGUGGUCAUCGCAGACUCUACAGCAUCCUUGUCGAUGGUUCUGACAGCAUCAACAGACGCUAGGACAUUGUUGUCCUGGAGGUGCAUGCCUCCAUGGACAGAGGAAAGUGGAAAAUUAUGCCUCAGACAGGCCAUAGUAUUCGAACCACCUGAAAAUAUGCAACAUUAUUAUCAAUGUAGCACAGCACACAAUCUGAUUGGUGAAGAUUGCAAGCAACAAAAAUGUAUGUACCCACAAAUAUCAAAAAGACCCAAACACUGGGAGGACACAAUUAAUAGACUACUUCUUGAAUGCUCAAGGUAA
RNAcentral lists this ribosomal RNA (345 nucleotides) under Triticum aestivum (bread wheat). RNAcentral describes it as "partial small subunit ribosomal RNA". Lineage: Eukaryota; Viridiplantae; Streptophyta; Magnoliopsida; Poales; Poaceae. The record is from RNAcentral.